Molecule: ribosomal RNA, 498 nt
Filed under: uncultured bacterium
Lineage: Bacteria
Description: partial 16S ribosomal RNA
Rfam family: Bacterial small subunit ribosomal RNA
Source: RNAcentral
GAUGAACGCUGGCGGCAUGCCUUACACAUGCAAGUCGAACGGUAACAGGUCUUCGGAUGCUGACGAGUGGCGAACGGGUGAGUAAUACAUCGGAACGUGCCUAGUAGUGGGGGAUAACUACUCGAAAGAGUGGCUAAUACCGCAUGAGAUCUACGGAUGAAAGCAGGGGAUCGCAAGACCUUGUGCUACUAGAGCGGCCGAUGGCAGAUUAGGUAGUUGGUGGGAUAAAAGCUUACCAAGCCGACGAUCUGUAGCUGGUCUGAGAGGACGAUCAGCCACACUGGGACUGAGACACGGCCCAGACUCCUACGGGAGGCAGCAGUGGGGAAUUUUGGACAAUGGGCGCAAGCCUGAUCCAGCAAUGCCGCGUGCAGGAUGAAGGCCUUCGGGUUGUAAACUGCCUUUGUACGGAACGAAAAGCCCUGGGUUAAUACCCUGGGGUCAUGACGGUACCGUAAGAAUAAGCACCGGCUAACUACGUGCCAGCCGCCGCCGUAA